This is a non-coding RNA of Hydra vulgaris (swiftwater hydra), 216 nucleotides long. The record is from RefSeq and is a predicted model, not a curated record. NCBI's taxonomy places the organism in Eukaryota, Metazoa, Cnidaria, Hydrozoa, Anthoathecata, Hydridae.
UAUAUAUAAUCAUAUCAAUAAACAUGAUUUAAUAAAGUUCUUUUUUUAAACAUUUCUAAGACGUACAAACAAGAAGCAGAGGUGCAAACAAGAAAGAAGGAAAAAUUUACCAACCUGAAAUUGUGCCAGAAAGAAAAUAUCAUAAAUGGGUUUUAAAUGAGGAGACACAACUAAUACAACACUUUUAAAGUUAUAUUAAUGAAAACAAAAUGCCUG